UGUGCAGCUCUAGAUGUGGUGCGCGACAGGGCAUACAGGCUCGGCUGACACCUGGUGGCGGAGCGAGAUACUAUACCCACCAGCACUCCUUGUCACCCUCCCCUCGUGCCCCGACCAGGUGAGACAGGUGCAGCAGCAACAGGCAGCCCGCCGCUCCACCUGUGACGCACGCACCUGCCUCGCCGCCCCAGCAACAUGACACCUUUUCAAACGCCUGCACCUGCUGCUCAUCAUCCUCCGCUCCUCUAUCCUAUAUUAUGGAGUGUUCAUACGCGUGGACGUGGAGUGGCUGUGGAAGCAAGCCAUGACGAGGAGCAGAUGGUGUGACGAAAGGAAGAGUGAUAAAGAGAAGGGGGUUCAAU
Long non-coding RNA from Portunus trituberculatus (swimming crab), 362 nucleotides. RefSeq lists it as uncharacterized. The record is from RefSeq and is a predicted model, not a curated record. The transcript is spliced from 2 exons. NCBI's taxonomy places the organism in Eukaryota, Metazoa, Arthropoda, Malacostraca, Decapoda, Portunidae.